This is a long non-coding RNA of Parus major (Great Tit), 1231 nucleotides long. RefSeq lists it as uncharacterized. The record is from RefSeq and is a predicted model, not a curated record. NCBI's taxonomy places the organism in Eukaryota, Metazoa, Chordata, Aves, Passeriformes, Paridae. The transcript has 2 exons.
GCUCUGCCCCCACAGCCCCCACACAAGGAGGGGCGGGAGCGGCCGCUCCCAGGGGCGCUGGGUUUUUCCUGCUGUCUGGGAAGUGACCGGCCGAGGAGCAGUGGCCUUAAGUAAAACCAGAAGUUCCAUCUCAGCAUGAGGAAGAACUUUCUUUACGUUGAGGGUGCCAGGCUGCCCUGGGAGGUUUGUGGAAUCUCCCUGUCUGGAGACAUUCCAAACCCACCUGGACGCGUUCCUGUGUCACCUGCUCUAAGUGAUCCUGUCGUGGUGCGGGGGUUGGAAUAGGUGGUCUCCAGAGGUCCCUUCCAACCUGGCAAUCCCUUGAUUUUGUGAGUCGUUUACCUCGGCAAGCGCCCCUGCCUUCCCUGUUUCUUUGAUGUCAUCCUUUAAACCGGUCCCCCUCGCACCAGUGUUUCCAGGUCUACACAGAGCCAGGAGCCGCAGGAGAGAGCUAGGAGUAGUGGGAGCGAGAGAAAAGUAACAAAACCUGCCUUUUCUUGUUUAUGAGGUUUGCCCAAAGGUGUCUCUUGGGAGUGAAGUUGCUUGCAAAGCAUUUUCAGAUGUAGCCGUUCCUUCCCCCCACACUUCAUAUUCCUUGGUAACUGGAGAACUGUCAGCAUUUGAAACCAGGCAAGGGGUGAAAGCUUCAUUAAAAUACACCUGGACAAGAAAACCCAUGCAUGGAUCGGAAAACAGAUUAUUCUUGCAGCGCCCCCGAGUUCAUUAAAAUACAAUUGUUGCUCGCUUAACUGCAGAAACACUUCCUAGAACCUCUUCUCUCCUUUUCCCACCCUGGACAGACCCUGAAAAAUAUCAAACCACGGUGGGCUGGACUCCACUACGGGGAUAACCACAUAGAGGGUGGGGGGACUGCAGCAUUAUCAGCAUAUUAUCUCUUGUUAUCCAGAAAAGGCUCUUCCCUGAUUCUUCAAACAGGAUUUUCCUGUUACUGUGUGUGGGCUGGGAGGUUUAACUACAUUCUGACUCUUCCUUUGCUAUGCGUGCAAUUGUUUCCCAGAAAUCUUUAUGGAAACCUUUAUGCAAGAAGGCAUAAACCUGCUCGGGAGAGUAGUCUCAGUGCUCGACAAGCCAAAUCCUUCUAGGGGACAGCUGUCAUCAUCACAACACAGCCAAGCAAGCAACCACCCCCUUCAACCCUUUACAUUAAGGAACAGUUUUGACUUAAGCCUAUUUUGUAUCUUGUAAGAAGAUUAAAAGAAUUAAAGAGAAA